GGCCUUUUGUCAUUUAUUUCAUUUUGCUGUAAUUUUGGUACACUUUCUUCCAUCUUUGUAUCACGUGUUUCUGCAAAGCACAUACAUACAUUUUUGUAGAUCAACGACCUAGGAGAUAGAUAUAGGUUGAGGGCACGUGGUAUGCGGAAACAGGAUGGGUGUGACGCAAAGGGUGCAGGUUGAGGGUGGUACAUUGCGUCAUUGGAUGAUUGUGAUGCAAAUAAUUUAAUUGUGUAUCGAAAAGGAUAUGUGAAAGUAUGAUUUUCAAGUUCACGGCAACACGUUGCUAAG
Long non-coding RNA from Frieseomelitta varia, 291 nucleotides. RefSeq lists it as uncharacterized. Lineage: Eukaryota; Metazoa; Arthropoda; Insecta; Hymenoptera; Apidae. The record is from RefSeq and is a predicted model, not a curated record. The transcript is spliced from 3 exons.